AUAGGCAGUGGGCGCGUGCUAUACAUGCAAGUCGAGCGAACAGAUAAGGAGCUUGCUCCUUUGACGUUAGCGGCGGACGGGUGAGUAACACGUGGAUAACCUACCUAUAAGACUGGGAUAACUUCGGGAAACCGGAGCUAAUACCGGAUAAGAUUUUGAACCGCAUGGUUCAAUAGUGAAAGACGGCCUUGCUGUCACUUAUAGAUGGAUCCGCGCCGUAUUAGCUAGUUGGUAAGGUAACGGCUUACCAAGGCAACGAUACGUAGCCGACCUGAGAGGGUGAUCGGCCACACUGGAACUGAGACACGGUCCAGACUCCUACGGGAGGCAGCAGUAGGGAAUCUUCCGCAAUGGGCGAAAGCCUGACGGAGCAACGCCGCGUGAGUGAUGAAGGUCUUCGGAUCGUAAAACUCUGUUAUCAGGGAAGAACAAACGUGUAAGUAACUGUGCACGUCUUGACGGUACCUGAUCAGAAAGCCACGGCUAACUACGUGCCAGCAGCCGCGGUAAUACGUAGGUGGCAAGCGUUAUCCGGAAUUAUUGGGCGUAAAGCGCGCGUAGGCGGUUUUUUAAGUCUGAUGUGAAAGCCCACGGCUCAACCGUGGAGGGUCAUUGGAAACUGGAAAACUUGAGUGCAGAAGAGGAAAGUGGAAUUCCAUGUGUACCGGUGAAAUGGCCAGAGAUAUGGAGGAACACCAG
This 699-nucleotide ribosomal RNA is filed under the name Staphylococcus pasteuri. RNAcentral describes it as "bacterial SSU rRNA". It matches the Rfam family "Bacterial small subunit ribosomal RNA", at positions 29 to 712 of the family's 1533-position model. Lineage: Bacteria; Bacillati; Bacillota; Bacilli; Caryophanales; Staphylococcaceae. The record is from RNAcentral.